This 460-nucleotide ribosomal RNA is filed under the name uncultured bacterium. Its description in RNAcentral is "partial 16S ribosomal RNA". It matches the Rfam family "Bacterial small subunit ribosomal RNA", at positions 338 to 795 of the family's 1533-position model. The record is from RNAcentral.
CCUACGGGAGGCUGCAGUGAGGAAUAUUGGUCAAUGGGCGAGAGCCUGAACCAGCCAAGUCGCGUGAAGGAUGACGGCCCUCCGGGUUGUAAACUCUUUUUGCCAGGGAGAAAUUGGGUCCACGCGUGGGCUUAGCGAGAGUACCUGAAGAAAAAGCAUCGGCUAACUCCGUGCCAGCAGCCGCGGUAAUACGGAGGAUGCAGGGGGUAUCCGGAUUUAUUGGGUUUAAGGGGUGCGUAGGCGGAAUAUCAAGUCAGCGGUAAAAAUUCGGGGCUCAACCCCGUCGUGCCGUUGAAACUGAUGUUCUUGAGUGGGCGAGAGGUAUGCGGAAUGCGUGGUGUAGCGGUGAAAUGCGUAGAUAUCACGCAGAACUCCGAUUGCGAAGGCAGCAUACCGGCGCCCAACUGACGCUGAAGCACGAAAGCGUGGGUAUCGAACAGGAUUAGAUACCCUGGUAGUC